UAUAAUGCAGUCGAGCGACAGAUAAGGAGCUUGCUCCUUUGACGUUAGCGGCGGACGGGUGAGUAACACGUGGGUAACCUACCUAUAAGACUGGAAUAACUCCGGGAAACCGGGGCUAAUGCCGGAUAACAUAUAGAACCGCAUGGUUCUAUAGUGAAAGAUGGUUUUGCUAUCACUUAUAGAUGGACCCGCGCCGUAUUAGCUAGUUGGUAAGGUAAUGGCUUACCAAGGCGACGAUACGUAGCCGACCUGAGAGGGUGAUCGGCCACACUGGAACUGAGACACGGUCCAGACUCCUACGGGAGGCAGCAGUAGGGAAUCUUCCGCAAUGGGCGAAAGCCUGACGGAGCAACGCCGCGUGAGUGAUGAAGGGUUUCGGCUCGUAAAACUCUGUUAUUAGGGAAGAACAUAUGUGUAAGUAACUGUGCACAUCUUGACGGUACCUAAUCAGAAAGCCACGGCUAACUACGUGCCAGCAGCCGCGGUAAUACGUAGGUGGCAAGCGUUAUCCGGAAUUAUUGGGCGUAAAGCGCGCGUAGGCGGUUUCUUAAGUCUGAUGUGAAAGCCCACGGCUCAACCGUGGAGGGUCAUUGGAAACUGGGAAACUUGAGUGCAGAAGAGGAAAGUGGAAUUCCAUGUGUAGCGGUGAAAUGCGCAGAGAUAUGGAGGAACACCAGUGGCGAAGGCGACUUUCUGGUCUGUAACUGACGCUGAUGUGCGAAAGCGUGGGGAUCAAACAGGAUUAGAUACCCUGGUAGUCCACGCCGUACACGAU
Molecule: ribosomal RNA, 775 nt
Filed under: Staphylococcus gallinarum
Lineage: Bacteria; Bacillati; Bacillota; Bacilli; Caryophanales; Staphylococcaceae
Description: bacterial SSU rRNA
Rfam family: Bacterial small subunit ribosomal RNA
Source: RNAcentral